RNAcentral lists this ribosomal RNA (447 nucleotides) under uncultured bacterium. RNAcentral describes it as "bacterial SSU rRNA". It matches the Rfam family "Bacterial small subunit ribosomal RNA", at positions 28 to 456 of the family's 1533-position model. The record is from RNAcentral.
GAUGAACGCUGGCGGCGUGCUUAACACAUGCAAGUCGAACGAAGCACUUUAUUUGAUUUCCUUCGGGACUGAUUAUUUUGUGACUGAGUGGCGGACGGGUGAGUAACGCGUGGGUAACCUGCCUUGUACAGGGGGAUAACAGUUGGAAACGGCUGCUAAUACCGCAUAAGCGCACAGCAUCGCAUGAUGCAGUGUGAAAAACUCCGGUGGUAUAAGAUGGACCCGCACGGAUUAGCUAGUUGGUGAGGUAACGGCCCACCAAGGCGACGAUCCAUAGCCGACCUGAGAGGGUGACCGGCCACAUUGGGACUGAGACACGGCCCAAACUCCUACGGGAGGCAGCAGUGGGGAAUAUUGCACAAUGGGCGAAAGCCUGAUGCAGCGACGCCGCGUGAGCGAAGAAGUAUUUCGGUAUGUAAAGCUCUAUCAGCAGGGAAGAUAAUGACG